This 993-nucleotide ribosomal RNA is filed under the name Lactiplantibacillus plantarum. RNAcentral describes it as "bacterial SSU rRNA". It matches the Rfam family "Bacterial small subunit ribosomal RNA", at positions 478 to 1466 of the family's 1533-position model. Lineage: Bacteria; Bacillati; Bacillota; Bacilli; Lactobacillales; Lactobacillaceae. The record is from RNAcentral.
UUUAACCAGAAANCACGGCUAACUACGUGCCAGCAGCCGCGGUAAUACGUAAGGUGGNAGCGUCGUCNNGGAUUUAUUGGGCCGUAAAGCGAGCGCAGGCUGGUUUUUUUAAAGUCUGAUGUGAAAGCCUUCGGCUCAACCGAAGAAGUGCAUCGGAAACUGGGAAACUUGAGUGCAGAAGAGGACAGUGGAACUCCAUGUGUAGCGGUGAAAUGCGUAGAUAUAUGGAAGAACACCAGUGGCGAAGGCGGCUGUCUGGUCUGUAACUGACGCUGAGGCUCGAAAGUAUGGGUAGCAAACAGGAUUAGAUACCCUGGUAGUCCAUACCGUAAACGAUGAAUGCUAAGUGUUGGAGGGUUUCCGCCCUUCAGUGCUGCAGCUAACGCAUUAAGCAUUCCGCCUGGGGAGUACGGCCGCAAGGCUGAAACUCAAAGGAAUUGACGGGGGCCCGCACAAGCGGUGGAGCAUGUGGUUUAAUUCGAAGCUACGCGAAGAACCUUACCAGGUCUUGACAUACUAUGCAAAUCUAAGAGAUUAGACGUUCCCUUCGGGGACAUGGAUACAGGUGGUGCAUGGUUGUCGUCAGCUCGUGUCGUGAGAUGUUGGGUUAAGUCCCGCAACGAGCGCAACCCUUAUUAUCAGUUGCCAGCAUUAAGUUGGGCACUCUGGUGAGACUGCCGGUGACAAACCGGAGGAAGGUGGGGAUGACGUCAAAUCAUCAUGCCCCUUAUGACCUGGGCUACACACGUGCUACAAUGGAUGGUACAACGAGUUGCGAACUCGCGAGAGUAAGCUAAUCUCUUAAAGCCAUUCUCAGUUCGGAUUGUAGGCUGCAACUCGCCUACAUGAAGUCGGAAUCGCUAGUAAUCGCGGAUCAGCAUGCCGCGGUGAAUACGUUCCCGGGCCUUGUACACACCGCCCGUCACACCAUGAGAGUUUGUAACACCCAAAGUCGGUGGGGUAACCUUUUAGGAACCAGCCGCCUAAGGUGAC